Molecule: ribosomal RNA, 461 nt
Filed under: Aricidea assimilis
Lineage: Eukaryota; Metazoa; Annelida; Polychaeta; Paraonidae
Description: partial large subunit ribosomal RNA
Rfam family: Bacterial large subunit ribosomal RNA
Source: RNAcentral
UUAAACGGCCGCGGUAUCCUGACCGUGCUAAGGUAGCAUAAUCCUUUGCCUCUUAAUUAGUGGCUAGAAUGAAUGGACAAACGAAAAUUAUGCUGUCUCGAUAAAUUCCCUAAAAACUAUCCUUCAAGUGAAGAGACUUGAAUUAAAAUAAAAGACAAGAAGACCCUGUAGAGCCUCAAUUUAUAUUAAACCCAAAAGUAAAAUACAUUAAAUCUUUAAUACCAUUUUAGUUGGGGCGACUAAGGACCAUCAAAACCCUCCUUCAUACAAAAGGCUUAUAAGCCUAAAUAAUGACCCAUUACAUGACCAAAAAACAAGGCUACCUCAGGGAUAACAGUCUAAUCUUCCUCAAGAGCCCAUAUUGACAGGAAGGAUUGGCACCUCGAUGUUGGCUUAGGGUCCCUGCAGGGUGCAGCAACCCUGACAGUAAGUUUGUUCAACUUUUAAAACCCUACGUGAUU